AAUUCGGACGGGGCCCGCACAAGCAGCGGAGCGUGUGGUUAAUCGAUGAUACACGAAGAACCUUACCCAGGCUUGACAUGCAGGUAUCGGGGUUUAUGAAAGUACGGCCCCACCUCGGGAGGCCUGCACAGGUGCUGCAUGGCUGUCGUCAGCUCGUGUCGUGAGAUGUCCGGUUAAGUCCGGUAACGAGCGCAACCCUCGCUGUAUGUUAUAUGUGUCAUACGGGACUGCCGGUAUCAAGCCGGAGGAAGGUGGGAUGACGUCAAGUCAGCAUGGCCUUUAUGUCUGGGGCUACACACACGCUACAAUGGCCAGUACAAUAGGUUGCAAGACCGCGAGGUGGAGCCAAUCCUAAAAGCUGGUCUCAGUUCGGAUUGCAGGCUGCAACUCGCCUGCAUGAAGUCGGAGUUGCUAGUAACCGCGCGUCAGCUAUAGUGCGGUGAAUACGUUCCCGGGCCUU
RNAcentral lists this ribosomal RNA (460 nucleotides) under uncultured Anaerolineaceae bacterium. Its description in RNAcentral is "bacterial SSU rRNA". It matches the Rfam family "Bacterial small subunit ribosomal RNA", at positions 916 to 1381 of the family's 1533-position model. Lineage: Bacteria; Bacillati; Chloroflexota; Anaerolineae; Anaerolineales; Anaerolineaceae. The record is from RNAcentral.